This 253-nucleotide ribosomal RNA is filed under the name uncultured bacterium. Its description in RNAcentral is "partial 16S ribosomal RNA". It matches the Rfam family "Bacterial small subunit ribosomal RNA", at positions 524 to 776 of the family's 1533-position model. The record is from RNAcentral.
UACAGAGGGUGCGAGCGUUAAUCGGAAUUACUGGGCGUAAAGCGCGCGUAGGCGGCUUUGCAAGCCGGAUGUGAAAUCCCCCGGCUUAACCUGGGAACUGCGUCUGAUACUGGAAGGCUUGAGUAUGGGAGAGGGAUGUAGAAUUCCAGGUGUAGCGGUGAAAUGCGUAGAUAUCUGGAGGAAUACCGGUGGCGAAGGCGGCAUCCUGGACCAUUACUGACGCUGAGGCGCGAAAGCUAGGGGAGCAAACGGG